This is a long non-coding RNA of Spodoptera frugiperda (fall armyworm), 369 nucleotides long. RefSeq lists it as uncharacterized. NCBI's taxonomy places the organism in Eukaryota, Metazoa, Arthropoda, Insecta, Lepidoptera, Noctuidae. The record is from RefSeq and is a predicted model, not a curated record. The transcript is spliced from 2 exons.
AGUCUCCCCCAGUAUCCUCCACAUCCGAACGUAUCCUGAUCCACUGCGCUCGACUGUUGGCUCCAGGCUCUAUUGUCUAAUUCUGCAUUGUUUCCUUCACCAGGUUAUUGUCGCAGUGUUGGCCUUCCUGGCGGUCGCCAGCGCCAAGCCUUUCCUCGGCGAGUUGGGAGCUGGUCUUGGCGAAGUAGGAGCUGGCCUCGGAGCCGGCCUUGGUAACAUCGGGGCUGGACUUGGUGCCGGGAUCGGAGCCGGACUUGAAGGUCUCGGAGCUGGUCUCGGGCUCCGUGGACAUGGCGGUCGGGGCGGCCUGGGUCUAGGAGGUUUACUAUAGAGAUCGCCAGACUUCCACAAAUAAAUAUUUUGACUGAA